CUGGUGAGAAUUAUUUCCUUAGCUGUUCAAUCGUGUCGGUAAAUUAGCAUGCAAAGCUAUCAGCUGUAAGGUUAGUUUGGGGGAAUGGCAACAGCAGGGCAAAUAAGGGAGUUAAAGGUAUUAAAAAGAUGCCUGGGAUUGCGGGAGCAUGAGCUAAUGAGGGAGAUAAAGUAUGACUAUUGGGCAAGGGCUGUGCUGUAUGACUGCAACAUGUAUUUGUAAUGGAGGAAGACUGACUGGGUGCGUGACUUCCUCCAGUAACGUUCAGUAGAACAGGAGCAUCUCUGCAGGUAGC
Pelobates cultripes (western spadefoot toad) is the source of this 295-nucleotide non-coding RNA. NCBI's taxonomy places the organism in Eukaryota, Metazoa, Chordata, Amphibia, Anura, Pelobatidae. The record is from the annotation of a GenBank genome assembly.